This 468-nucleotide ribosomal RNA is filed under the name uncultured bacterium. RNAcentral describes it as "partial 16S ribosomal RNA". It matches the Rfam family "Bacterial small subunit ribosomal RNA", at positions 28 to 507 of the family's 1533-position model. The record is from RNAcentral.
GACGAACGCUGGCGGCGUGCUUAACACAUGCAAGUCGAACGGAAAGGCCCUGCUUUUGUGGGGUGCUCGAGUGGCGAACGGGUGAGUAACACGUGAGUAACCUGCCCUUGACUUUGGGAUAACUUCAGGAAACUGGGGCUAAUACCGGAUAGGAGCUCCUGCUGCAUGGUGGGGGUUGGAAAGUUUCGGCGGUUGGGGAUGGACUCGCGGCUUAUCAGCUUGUUGGUGGGGUAGUGGCUUACCAAGGCUUUGACGGGUAGCCGGCCUGAGAGGGUGACCGGCCACAUUGGGACUGGGAUUCGGCCCAGACUCCUACGGGAGGCAGCAGUGGGGAAUAUUGCACAAUGGGCGGAAGCCUGAUGCAGCAACGCCGCGUGCGGGAUGACGGAUUUCGGGUUGUAAACCGCUUUCGCAUGUGACGAAGCGUGAGUGGCGGUAAUGGGUAAAGAAGCACCGGCUAACUACGUG